AGGCUUAAUACAUGCAAGUCGAGCGGGCGUAGCAAUACGUCAGCGGCAGACGGGUGAGUAACGCGUGGGAACGUGCCCUUUGGUUCGGAACAACACAGGGAAACUUGUGCUAAUACCGGAUAAGCCCUUACGGGGAAAGAUUUAUCGCCGAAGGAUCGGCCCGCGUCUGAUUAGCUAGUUGGUGAGGUAACGGCUCACCAAGGCGACGAUCAGUAGCUGGUCUGAGAGGAUGAUCAGCCACACUGGGACUGAGACACGGCCCAG
RNAcentral lists this ribosomal RNA (264 nucleotides) under uncultured bacterium. RNAcentral's name for it is "partial 16S ribosomal RNA". It matches the Rfam family "Bacterial small subunit ribosomal RNA", at positions 46 to 334 of the family's 1533-position model. The record is from RNAcentral.